This is a long non-coding RNA of Mastomys coucha (southern multimammate mouse), 281 nucleotides long. RefSeq lists it as uncharacterized. Lineage: Eukaryota; Metazoa; Chordata; Mammalia; Rodentia; Muridae. The record is from RefSeq and is a predicted model, not a curated record. The transcript has 2 exons.
ACCCUCUCUGAAGAAUGACUGGCAGUUAAUGUUUCUGGGGGAGGCUCGGUGGGCAAUUUUCUUCCGUGAUAUAGCUGCUGCUGAUUUGUCCACAUAAUUUCUUGCUGUAACAAAUGCUGGGCUGGAACUUGAACCCUUUGGGGUGCUGAGAUUACAGGCCACUGAAACAGCUCAACAUUCUACCCCUGUUGUAUCUCAUAUUGCCACCAGGGGGCGCCUAACACUUCUAAUGUCCUUGCAAUGAGACUAAGGUUUAAUAAAAGGCUUGGAAUGUCAUCCUA